This 522-nucleotide ribosomal RNA is filed under the name uncultured bacterium. RNAcentral describes it as "bacterial SSU rRNA". It matches the Rfam family "Bacterial small subunit ribosomal RNA", at positions 8 to 518 of the family's 1533-position model. The record is from RNAcentral.
AGAGUUUGAUCCUGGCUUAGGAUGAACGCUAGCUACAGGCUUAACACAUGCAAGUCGAGGGGCAGCAUGGAGUUUGCUUGCAAACUCUGAUGGCGACCGGCGCACGGGUGAGUAACGCGUAUCCAACCUUCCCUAUAGUAGAGGAUAGCCCGGCGAAAGUCGGAUUAAUACUCUAUGUUUUCCGUUGCAGACAUCUAAGAUGGAACAAAGGCUUGCCGCUAUAGGAUGGGGAUGCGUCUGAUUAGGUAGUCGGCGGGGUAACGGCCCACCGAGCCAUCGAUCAGUAGGGGUUCUGAGAGGAAGGUCCCCCACAUUGGAACUGAGACACGGUCCAAACUCCUACGGGAGGCAGCAGUGAGGAAUAUUGGUCAAUGGACGAGAGUCUGAACCAGCCAAGUAAGCGUGCAGGACGACGGCCCUAUGGGUUGUAAACUGCUUUUAUGCGGGGAUAAAGUUCACUACGUGUAGUGUUUUGUAGGUACCGCAUGAAUAAGGACCGGCUAAUUCCGUGCCAGCCGCCGC